RNAcentral lists this ribosomal RNA (108 nucleotides) under Cladosporium cladosporioides. Its description in RNAcentral is "partial 18S ribosomal RNA". It matches the Rfam family "Eukaryotic small subunit ribosomal RNA", at positions 1725 to 1831 of the family's 1831-position model. The record is from RNAcentral. Lineage: Eukaryota; Fungi; Ascomycota; Dothideomycetes; Cladosporiales; Cladosporiaceae. RNAcentral also lists the same sequence under 8 other names.
AGGUCGGCAACGACCACCCAGGGCCGGAAAGUUGGUCAAACCCGGUCAUUUAGAGGAAGUAAAAGUCGUAACAAGGUCUCCGUAGGUGAACCUGCGGAGGGAUCAUUA